RNAcentral lists this long non-coding RNA (2541 nucleotides) under Sarcophilus harrisii (Tasmanian devil). RNAcentral's name for it is "lncRNA (ENSSHAG00000027835.1)". The record is from RNAcentral. Lineage: Eukaryota; Metazoa; Chordata; Mammalia; Dasyuromorphia; Dasyuridae.
CAGUGGGCUGCAAGACCUUGAUCUGGGCUGGCAAGCUAAUCUACCUGAGGAAGCAGUGUAUCCUGAGAGAGGAGGCAGACUGUAUGAAACCACCACCAUUUUGAUCUUCAUCACCCAACAUCUCUAAUGGAGACAGAAUACCAAGAAAGCAUCACCAUACAGCACGGAAAGAAAUAUUGAAAACAAAUCAACAGCCACACACUUUCGACUCCCCCCGCCCCCAGGACCCAGUCAGAGCCAUAGAGGAGUGGGUGAUUGUCAGGUUUGGGAGUUGGGGGGUAGGGUCAGGAAGAGGAUGGAAUACCAAGUUAAGUUUUCCACGCCACUUCCUCAGACCUGGGUUGGGGAGGGACACAAGAGAAUCCAGAUUCUCCAUUAAAAAUAAUCCAGCCCCACCCAAUCCUAUCCCUCCUACCAAUGUUUCAAGGAAGGGGAGCAGAAGGGAAAGCUAAGAAUUUCCAGGUUCCACCCCCUAUUCAUGGAACCCUAAAUUCACCCUCUACCCACCUCAAGGGAUCCUGAAGAGUCAGUUAAAAAUAUAUAGUGAUAUAGAUAUUUCUAGAUACACUUUUACAUCAUCUCUGUCUUUCCAAACAAAUAAAUAAACAGUAAGAGAAGUGCAUUGCUUCCUUUCUGUCCAAGGUGGGGAGGAUUAGGAUUGGGGAUCAGUCUUGCCGCUGUAGUUAGUGCACUGUUGUAAAGGGAAGGGGUUGUUUGGGGAGGGGGAAAAUUCCUCUCACCCAUCAUCCCUGAUAGCUGUCUAAAAAUUGGAGGGUGGAGGUGAGGGGGUGUUGGCUGUCUCCAGUGGUUGCUUUGGCAAAUGCCCAGUUCUAGGGGGAGGGGGCGGGAAGAAGUAUGAGUUUGGCUAGUGAAUAGGAAAGGGAGUCACCAAGAAAGACUAGGCUUUGAGGGGGGUUACUUGUCUUGUUGGAAAGCCCUAUGAUAAAAUCUUGGGAUACUGAACUGCAGAAAUGUAACAGACACACUCAUAUAAGCAUUCUUUCCCCACCCUUUAAAAAAAAAAUCUCCAAACAUAAAAUCUCUCUCACACACACACACACACACACACACACACACACACACCCUCUACCCAUUGUAUUACAGGAGGCAAACCUGAUGAACAUUAUACACUAUUAGGAGCACACACACAUAAAAAGAGAGAGGAGGGCUAGGGAAAGGUUCCUCUGGGAUAUUUAGUGUAGCCAAGGAAAGUUGGAUGGAGCCAGAUAGGAGGUAAGUCUGGCCAAGAAGGGGAGAAUUAAUCACCUGCAAGUGUUACUGACCAUCUACUACUGUGUGCAAGGUACUGUGCUAUGAGUAAAGGGGAGGAGGGAGCAGGGCUGGAGAAAAAGAUGAAUAAGACAGUCCCUGCCCUUAGUUGGGAAGAGGGGCAUGGUGGAAGGCCAAGAUGCUGUAGACCAGCAGUUCUCCAAGUAUGGUCUGAGAACUUCUAGGGCCCCUAAAACCAUCUUAUGAGGGAUCAUGAGGUCAAAGGAAUAUUCUUAAUACUAAGAUGUUUUAAUCUUUAAUGUGUAAAUAUGGAUGGAAAUAAGCCACAUACAAGUUCUUUGGAAUCCCCACUAAUUUCAAAGAGUUCUGAGACCAAAAAGUUUGAGAACCACUGUUCUGGAGAAAUAAAGAAGGAAUGCUCACUGAGACAGGGGGCUUAUUCAGGAGGUAGGUUUGCGUGAAUUUGGGAUCUGAAGGAAAGGCAGGACUUAGAGGGAGGACAGCAUAUUAUAGGGAUGAACACAGAGAGGUAGGAAAAUCCAGGAAAAACCCAUGCUGGGAGACAGGAAAGAGUCCAGUCUAGCUGGAGUAAUACAAUUCCAUUGUGGGCAAGGUUGGAAACACAAGACCAAAUGGGAGAGCCAGGCGGGACCAGCCGCAAAAUCCCCCUUGAAAAUGGACAUAUAAAAAUAAUGUUUUAAUUUAGCAAGUAAAGACAAUUCUCAGAGAGAAUGUGAGGUCCAUAAAGAUAGGGAUCUUGUCUUAUCUUAGCUUUGUAUCUUUCCCAGCAUCUGGUAUGCCAUAAGUGCUUAAUAAAUGCUUACUGAAUUACUAAAUGAAUGAGUGGAUAAAGAAGGGAGGUGGAUGCAGCAAGAGAAAAUAUGUCUAUGAAGGACUUUUGGGAGAACAAAGUUGGGAAGAUCAGGAAGCUGAAAUGCUGGACGGCUGGUCACUUCACACACACACACACACACACACACACACACACACAUCACAGACACCCAGGCGUGCGGUGUGCAGACACACAGACACACAUACACACACACACACACACUCUGCUUCAGAAUACUGCACACGACUAGGUCUCUGAGCUGCGUAAAGACGGUCACUUAGAGAACUAGGCCUCUGCUGCCUCUAUGUUUCAACUGUACUGAGAGACCUAAGACAAAGUCCCUAGCCCUCGGGCACUGGGAGCACAAGCCAAGAAUCGAUGUCUGAAAGGAUGGGGGAAGACAACCCAGGCCUCCCACUGCCCACACUCCACCUCUGUGAGUAGGUGUAGAAGUAGGGGCUGCUAGGGGAUGCCUCCCA